GUAGAUUUACUGUUGGUGAGGCAGCACCAGGACAGGAGAGCUGCUAGCUUAUGUUUUCAUCACAGACAGGAAGGAAGGAGGAAAUUGAACUAGUGUUGUCAUUUCUCUCAGACGGUGCCCUCCACCUUGACCAGGCCACCAAGGUCCACAACCCUUUGUCUUCAGUGAUGAUGAUGAUGGUGAUGAUCCUGGGCGCCAUGUUGCACUGCAACUCUGCCAACAAUGGCUCGGACACUGUCUCCAUCACUUCCUCCCCUUCCUCAAAGGGCAGACCCAACAUGAUGAUAGAGGUUUGCUUCAAUACAACACUGGAUAUUCCUGCAUUACUGUUCUCACCAUCUGGAUCUGUGGAACAUGUGGGUAUUUGAGGUUGUGCAGUACACUUAGGAGGCCUUCUCCUGGAUGAAAGAUCUCAUAACUCACUGAACUGGCUUAUUUGAUGACUGAGAAUGGCCUUUGUCAUGUGGCAAGGAGUUCUUGCUAGAGGCUGCAUUUUGUCUUGCCAGAUCUGCAGUAAAGUGAAAGAGGAAAAAGACGCUUUUCUUAGUUUUGACUGUGGUCCCAGGAGAUAUUGUCAUUGGGCUUUCUGAGCAUAUUGCUGAACUGCUGUGGCCUUGGGACCAAAUGCUUGCCCCCCUUGGUCCCACGCAUUUGUUGUAAGGCCACAAAACCCUAAAAAAUGGUUUGCUGUGGCAGCCCCUGGGCAGUAGAAUAAGCCUCCUUACGGCACUCAGGAGAAUCAGUUGAAACAUUUAAAAAAAAUAGUAAUAAUUUAAUCAACCAUUUUGUGGCCUUUGAGUGUGAGCAAUGGUUUCUUGUUUUUUCAUGUGAUGUGUUUUUCUUGUUUCUUGUUCUCUUGUUUCUUGUGGAGCAUUUUAACAUAAAUGUU
Molecule: long non-coding RNA, 889 nt
Organism: Myripristis murdjan (pinecone soldierfish)
Lineage: Eukaryota; Metazoa; Chordata; Actinopteri; Holocentriformes; Holocentridae
Exons: 4
Source: RefSeq, a predicted model, not a curated record